GAAGUUCUACCUUGGUCCAGACCCAAGUGCCCCUUGUGCUUCUAGCAGAUGUAAACCCACAAUACUCUCCUGGACUGGCCCUCACCAAGAAGCAGAAACCCUCUGGCUGUUCCAACACCUACCAAGGCACCAAUGUAGUGACCAUGGAGCUCCAGGCUACCUCCAGCCUCUGCAGCAAACCUUCUCCAAAUAACACCUUGAUGUCACAAUGAGCAGCAGACAGGGACAUCUGGCUGCUGUUGACAACCCCCUAACAAACAACAUAAACUGGGACGGGAACAUGGAAGACCUUAUGGGCUCAGACAAAUAAGGAGCCCAACAGAGAUCCACAUCCAUCCUCACCCAGCACAGUUUUGGCUCCCCUGCUUCCAGUUACAGACAAACAUCUCAUGGCAGCUCACAAGGGAGGAUUCAAACAGAGCACUGACACCUCACAGGGCAGCCCAAAACAAGAGACCCAGGUCAAGGCUCAGACACCUCUGACUCAUACCAAGUUUCUGCAGGGCCUGACACAACAGGUCGACAGACUCUCCUUGAAAUCAAACAACAGCAAGCACAAGGUGACGGUGUCUUGGCCAGGAAGGACCCAGAUUCAAGACAGUCCUCAGAGGCACAACUCCAAGCUAAAUAAAUGUUGAUGAACUCCUUUCUCUUCAGCUCUGUGUAGUUCUGAUGCCUUUAUUUUGCUUUCCUUCCAGCUGGAAAGAAAGUUCAUUGAGAAUGAAAGCUAGUGACUCGCAGUGAGCAGUGACAGAUGCUGCCUGCCUGCAUGUGUGAAAAAACUCUGACAGGCAGAAAUAACACACCUCACAUGUCUUGUGGUGGCAGUGAAGCAAUAAAUAUUCUAAUAGACUACUAAGGCUCA
Molecule: long non-coding RNA, 865 nt
Filed under: Cyanistes caeruleus (blue tit)
Lineage: Eukaryota; Metazoa; Chordata; Aves; Passeriformes; Paridae
Description: lncRNA (ENSCCEG00000014432.1)
Source: RNAcentral